GGGUUUAAAGGGUCCGUAGGCGGUCUGAUAAGUCAGAGGUGAAAUCCUGCAGCUCAACUGUAGCAUUGCCUUUGAUACUGUUAGACUUGAGUUAUUGUGAAGUAGUUAGAAUGUGUGGUGUAGCGGUGAAAUGCAUAGAUAUUACAUAGAAUACCAAUUGCGAAGGCAGAUUACUAAUAAUCAACUGACACUGAUGGACGAAAGCGUGGGUAGCGAACAGGAUUAGAUACCCUGGUAGUCCACGCCGUAAACGAUGGUUACUAGCUGUUUGGACCUUGUGUCUGAGUGGCUAAGCGAAAGUGAUAAGUAACCCACCUGGGGAGUACGUUCGCAAGAAUGAAACUCAAAGGAAUUGACGGGGGCCCGCACAAGCGGUGGAGCAUGUGGUUUAAUUCGAAGCAACGCGAAGAACCUUACCUACACUUGACAUCCAGAGAACUUUCUAGAGAUAGAUUGGUGCCUUCGGGAACUCUGAGACAGGUGCUGCAUGGCU
This 493-nucleotide ribosomal RNA is filed under the name uncultured Flavobacteriaceae bacterium. Its description in RNAcentral is "bacterial SSU rRNA". It matches the Rfam family "Bacterial small subunit ribosomal RNA", at positions 556 to 1050 of the family's 1533-position model. The record is from RNAcentral. Lineage: Bacteria; Pseudomonadati; Bacteroidota; Flavobacteriia; Flavobacteriales; Flavobacteriaceae.